CCAGCUAAAUUAUCAUGUUAUGUUACUGCUGCUACAGUGAAUCCCCCUGUGCGGUGGGGUGUAAUUGGUUAUCAAUGGAAACAGCUGUUUGUUUGCCACACGAGUCACGGUAUAGCCAGCCAAAGAUUCACCGGGAGGCACCCGGCACUGCAGCAUACUGAUAACAAAUAUAGCGUGUCCCAAAGGCUCACUUCGGUGAGCCUUUUUUACAGGC
Molecule: small RNA, 214 nt
Organism: Salmonella enterica subsp. enterica serovar Typhimurium
Lineage: Bacteria; Pseudomonadati; Pseudomonadota; Gammaproteobacteria; Enterobacterales; Enterobacteriaceae
Rfam family: Gammaproteobacterial sRNA STnc100
Source: Rfam